Non-coding RNA from Acanthosepion pharaonis, 112 nucleotides. Lineage: Eukaryota; Metazoa; Mollusca; Cephalopoda; Sepiida; Sepiidae. The record is from the annotation of a GenBank genome assembly.
ACGGCCACACUACAUUGAAAUCCCGGUUUCUGUACGAUCACCGAAGUUAAGCAACAUCGAGCUUGGCCAGUACCUAGAUGGGUGACCCCGUGUGCAUACCAGGUGCUGUAAG